GACAGAGGGUGCAAACGUUGUUCGGAAUUACUGGGCGUAAAGCGCGUGUAGGCGGCCAUGCAAGUCGGGUGUGAAAGCCCUCGGCUCAACUGAGGAAGUGCACCCGAAACUACGUGGCUAGAGUCCUGGAGAGGAAGGUGGAAUGCUCGGUGUAGAGGUGAAAUUCGUAGAUAUCGAGCGGAACACCGGUGGCGAAGGCGGCCUUCUGGACAGUGACUGACGCUGAGACGCGAAAGCGUGGGGAG
Molecule: ribosomal RNA, 245 nt
Filed under: uncultured Polyangiaceae bacterium
Lineage: Bacteria; Pseudomonadati; Myxococcota; Polyangiales; Polyangiaceae
Description: partial 16S ribosomal RNA
Rfam family: Bacterial small subunit ribosomal RNA
Source: RNAcentral